AACGUAGGGGACAAGCGUUAUCCGGAUUUACUGGGCGUAAAGCGCCCGUAGGCGGCCUGACAAGUUGGACGUGAAAGCUCCUGGCUUAACUGGGAGAGGCCGUUCAAAACUGUCAAGCUAGAGUCUGGAAGAGGAGAGCGGAAUUCCCGGUGUAGUGGUGGAAUGCGUAGAGAUCCGGAGGAACACCAGUGGCGAAGGCGACACGCUGGGCCGUACCUGACACUGAUGCGCGACAGCAUGGGGAGCAAACAGG
Molecule: ribosomal RNA, 253 nt
Filed under: uncultured bacterium
Lineage: Bacteria
Description: partial 16S ribosomal RNA
Rfam family: Bacterial small subunit ribosomal RNA
Source: RNAcentral